GUAACACGUAAGUAACCUGCCCUUUAGUGGGGGAUAACGCUCCGAAAGGAUCGCUAAUACCGCAUAAGAUCUCUUUUUCGCAUGAUUUGGAGAUGAAAGAUUUAUUGCUAAAGGAUGGGCUUGCGUAUGAUUAGCUAGUUGGUAAGGUAAUGGCUUACCAAGGCUACGAUCAUUAGCUGGUCUGAGAGGAUGAACAGCCACACUGGGACUGAGAUACGGCCCAGACUCC
This 229-nucleotide ribosomal RNA is filed under the name uncultured bacterium. Its description in RNAcentral is "partial 16S ribosomal RNA". It matches the Rfam family "Bacterial small subunit ribosomal RNA", at positions 110 to 339 of the family's 1533-position model. The record is from RNAcentral.